GCUGGGGACAGGUGGAAGAGGUGGGCUCCCGGGUCUCUCUGCUGUGGACGAGAGGCGGCCGUGCUUGCCGGCCGGGUCCGAGCUUUGCAAAUGAGUUCCCGGCGCCCUCCUGCGUGACCUCCCAACUCUCGGAGUGCACGAAGGGGGUGGUACCUAGAAGUUAGGGCGGGGUCGCCGGAGUGCAAGGGUGGGACGGUAAGUUCUUCUAGAAGGAUACCACACUCCCCCCCCCCCCCUUCGGAAAAGAACGUCUUGCAGGACUUGGCACGGGCUGCUGGGAGGCUUGUCCUACCUUAGGGUCUUGCUGUCCCAGGUUUGGCGGCUGAACCUGAAAGCGCUCAGGGCCCUGGGCUUGCACACCGUUUCACUUGUUCUCCAUAGGGGGCUGGGAGAGAGCCGAGGGACGCCAUUACUUCUCUCCAUUCUACAGAUUUGAAAACUGAGGCUCCGCAAGAUUAAAGGACAUUAUCCAAAUUCACGCAGAGGAGCUUGUGAGUGAGUUGCACGGAUGCAGACAGGUCUUCAGAAUUUAAAAUAGCUGGUAGACGGUGCAAUUAAAGGGAACAAAAUGACCUCACGCUUCCCUCGGGGCUGAUGAUUGCUUUGAACAUUAUUAUUUACGCGUAUACUUUGCAAGACCAAGGUGGCCUGGGAUCUCACUUCCUACAUUGUUCAUUCCAGCUGGCACAACCAAGCUAGGGGUUCUGGGGAGCACGGGGUCUCAAUACUUGUUUGAAUGAAGGAAGACCCCCCCCCCGUAGUUUGCAGGAGGACCCCAUAAGGUCCUUGAAACACAAGGAAGAGGUCUGCCGCCUGCCGGUCAUUCCUUACUAUCUCGAAGGAAGCAUCCUUCAAUAGGCCUACUCCAGCCCCAGCAUCCCCUCCUCCCAAGCUUGGGUUCCAGCCUCGUUCAUCAUUAUCCGGGUCCUUGAUGGAUGACCCUCAUCUCUCCCAUCCGGAGUGACUUUCUUAUUCAGAGCUAUCGUUUUAGUCUUGGCAAAGUGACCCAUUUUCUUCUGGGGUCCAAGUCUUUGACCUCCCAUUUCCCAGGUCUCCCUUCCUUCUGAAGAGUUCUUCCUUACUGUUUCAGAGCCUGUGUCGACCCCCCCCUCCCCAGACUGUCCUCCUCUCCUCUGUAAGCUCCUCAGAUAGUGCUGUGCCCCUCCUCCAUUUAUUAGAGAUGAAAUAAAUAAUGCCAUAAAUAAAAGUAUUUGGGAGUCCAGGAACUGUCAGGGCUGAUUAGGGCAUAGAGGACAUUUUCUUUCUCAUUAUGCAAAAGCAUUUCAUGGGGAAAUAAAAGAGGUUUCAUUGUAACUCAUGCAUGUCAUAUUUCAAGGAAUUCAAGAUAUUAAUCAUAUUUAACAUUAUUUGCAACGUUUUCUUCUCCCUGGCUUCUGAAAACUGCUAAAUGAGGACACGUGGAUCACCAGGAAGAAAGGGAGAGGAACAUGAGGGGGACAGUUGAGAAAUAAUGAAAGGCUGGUGAAGGAGACCGAGGGAGAUGCCAGGGAGACGUUUCUCAGGCGCACAAGUGUGCAUGUGCCCCGCCUGGACGCCUGUGGCCCGGGGACCUGGAACUGGUACCACCGAUGGUUGUGAGUCAUCACGUGGGUGCUGGGACUCGAACCUGAGUCCUCUGCAAGAACAGCAAGCGCUCUUGACCACUCAGCCAUCUCCCCAGCCCCUAAAACGGACACUGACUCCCAAGUGUGGAGCUAUACACUCCUUCAGACCUUGGACCACUCCUCCCGCUGAACUCAGCACUGUGUGUGCACGCGUGCAGCAGAGCUCCCUGAAGAGGAAGAAGCAUCUACUGAGUUAAAGAUCCUCAGGCUGCUUGACCUUGGCUGAUUAGAACUGUGGUUGUGGACUGAUGGGCAGUCAGGGCCGAAAGUACUCUGAGCCUCCUCGGCUCCUUAACAGCCAUUUACUUUCAACCUCUGUAUCUGGCCUAACAUCCCGGUGACCAGGUUAAGCUCUCACAGUACGUCACUGACCUUCAUGGACCUUUGGCUCCCGCCCACUCUGAAGAACAUUCUAACAUCUCAACCUGUAGAAAGCACUUCCGGCCUUGCGGUAGCUUCUCCACAGUUGUCUAGUGCUUUUGAAGACGUAACUGUUUAUCACCUUCCUGGUUCUGUGGCUGUGCAGACGGCCUCGUCUACCAUGGAACAUGUUGUUCAGAGAAGCCCGAGUCUACGUCCUGGGCCAUGACCACUUGUCUUUGGCUAAGAAUGAGCUGCUUCCUUUUUCCCUUGAAUGCCCAGCUGCUGCUUUACAGCUCUUUGAUACAAACAUAACAGAGCCAAGCACUUGCAAAGUCCUUCAUAAGGAGCACUCAGUAAACGUCUUGCUCUACUCUGUUGUCUAAGUCAUCAGACAAUGACUUUGCUGCUGUCUGCUCUUGGGGGCUGUACAGAGACAGAUAGGAUGACAACUAUAGUUAUGCUUUAAAUCUUUUUAGAUGUUUACUCUUAACUCAAAAAUAAGAGAUGGUGAAAGCCAAGGGGUUAUCUAUGGACAGGGUAAAAUUUUGAUUGGCAGCAUCUCAAUUCCUUGAGUCAUCCAGAAUAUAGCUUUUAAAUAAUAACCCAGCCAUGGGAAAUGCUUUUUAUUGCACCAAUUUCAAUGAUAUUUAAUGAGCUUCUGAUUGACUGUUUGAUCUCCCAAUGUUUUGUGCUACUUUUAAUUCAUUUCGUAUAAUAGAAAAAAAAAGUAAUUGGAAUAAAAUUUUGUGACAAGAUAAUGACCUUCCACUUUGAAAUUAAAUGUCUGAUUAGCUUCAACAUUUUAAUGCUGAGAUGAUGCUGCAGCAGGCACAGGAGUGCACCUACUGUCAUUCCAUGGAAAGUGACUGAGGAAUAUGCCCUCGCUUUGCUGAUCGUAUAGCCAAAGGGCGUGGUGGCUGUAGAAUCAGAGACGCACAGGCCUAGAAGGGAGUGGCGCAGUCGCCUGAACCCGUGUCUGCAGUUUUUAACAACUUGGAUACGUGCAUCUCUGAAUGCAUCGGCCAUUCACCCAGGUAUUAGUCCAGAAUAUUUAUUGUGUGUCUACUAUGUGUUAGGUGUCUUUAUGGGUUCUGAGGGAUAUAAUAGUGCAACAGAUUCCAGGGUAUCCUGGGAGAGCAAGGAGCAGAUGAUAAAUUAGUCACUGUUGUUGGGAGGCUGCUUGUUUGUUUCCCGGCUGCCCCGACUCCCAAAAUAAUCACACAGAAACUAUAUUAUUUAAAACACUGCUUGGCCAAUGACUCUAGCAUAUUCCUAGCAAACUAUUACGUAUUAAAUUAACCCAUUUCUAUUAUUUUAUAUUUUACCAUGAGGCUCGUGGCCUACCAGGAAGGUUCCAGCUGGCGACUUGCGUCUUUCUCCUCUAGCGACUCCAUGACUCCUGACUCUGCCUUCUUUCUUCCAGCAUUCAGCUUAGUUCCCACCCCCACCCCAGCUCUGCUCUACCCUAUCACAGGCCCAAAACAGCUUCUUUAUUAGCCAAUGGUGUUCACAGCAUACAGAGGGAAAUCCCACAUCACUUCCCCUUUUCUGUCUAAAUAAAAAGGAAGGUUUCACUUUAACAUAGUAAAAUUACAUAUAACAAAACAGGUAUCAAGUAAAAAUUAUAGUUACAAUAUUUAUAUCUACUUUAUCUUUUAUCAUAAGUGAGGAAAAGUAUAAUUAUAACUAUCUAUUCUUCAAUUCCAUCAAAGACUACAGAAGGAUAUAAUAUUACCUAAGUAAACAGGAAGUGCAUUGUAAGCAAUUUCCAAAACUCUAGAAUUAUCAGAGACAUCUCACUGCCUGGACA
Alexandromys fortis (reed vole) is the source of this 3798-nucleotide long non-coding RNA. RefSeq lists it as uncharacterized. The record is from RefSeq and is a predicted model, not a curated record. NCBI's taxonomy places the organism in Eukaryota, Metazoa, Chordata, Mammalia, Rodentia, Cricetidae. The transcript has 3 exons.